RNAcentral lists this ribosomal RNA (520 nucleotides) under uncultured bacterium. Its description in RNAcentral is "bacterial SSU rRNA". It matches the Rfam family "Bacterial small subunit ribosomal RNA", at positions 120 to 674 of the family's 1533-position model. The record is from RNAcentral.
GGGAAUCUACCGUGCCCUGCGGAAUAGCUCCGGGAAACUGGAAUUAAUACCGCAUACGCCCUACGGGGGAAAGAUUUAUCGGGGUAUGAUGAGCCCGCGUUGGAUUAGCUAGUUGGUGGGGUAAAGGCCUACCAAGGCGACGAUCCGUAGCUGGUCUGAGAGGAUGAUCAGCCACAUUGGGACUGAGACACGGCCCAAACUCCUACGGGAGGCAGCAGUGGGGAAUAUUGGACAAUGGGCGCAAGCCUGAUCCAGCCAUGCCGCGUGAGUGAUGAAGGCCUUAGGGUUGUAAAGCUCUUUCACCGGUGAAGAUAAUGACGGUAACCGGAGAAGAAGCCCCGGCUAACUUCGUGCCAGCAGCCGCGGUAAUACGAAGGGGGCUAGCGUUGUUCGGAAUUACUGGGCGUAAAGCGCACGUAGGCGGAUAUUUAAGUCAGGGGUGAAAUCCCAGAGCUCAACUCUGGAACUGCCUUUGAUACUGGGUAUCUUGAGUAUGGAAGAGGUAAGUGGAAUUGCGAGU